RNAcentral lists this ribosomal RNA (669 nucleotides) under uncultured bacterium. RNAcentral describes it as "bacterial SSU rRNA". It matches the Rfam family "Bacterial small subunit ribosomal RNA", at positions 62 to 733 of the family's 1533-position model. The record is from RNAcentral.
ACGAAGCGGCUGCAGGGAUUCCCUUCGGGGAGGAACAGUAGCUGUCUGAGUGGCGGACGGGUGAGUAACGCGUGGGCAACCUGCCCCAUACCGGGGGAUAACAGCCGGAAACGGCUGCUAAUACCGCAUACGCCCAGGAGGCUGCAUAGCUUGCUGGGGAAAACUCCGGUGGUAUGGGAUGGGCCCGCGUCUGAUUAGCUCGUUGGCGGGGUAACGGCCCACCAAGGCGACGAUCAGUAGCCGGCCUGAGAGGGCGGCCGGCCACAUUGGGACUGAGACACGGCCCAGACUCCUGCGGGAGGCAGCAGUGGGGAAUAUUGCACAAUGGGGGAAACCCUGAUGCAGCGACGCCGCGUGAGCGAUGAAGUAUCUCGGUAUGUAAAGCUCUAUCAGCAGGGAAGAAAGUGACAGUACCUGACUAAGAAGCCCCGGCUAACUACGUGCCAGCAGCCGCGGUAAUACGUAGGGGGCAAGCGUUAUCCGGAUUCACUGGGCGUAAAGGGAGCGCAGGCGGCACGGCAAGUCUGGUGUGAAAACCCGGGGCUCAACCCCGGGACUGCAUUGGAAACUGCCGGGCUGGAGUGUCGGAGGGGUAAGCGGAAUUCCUAGUGUAGCGGUGAAAUGCGUAGAUAUUAGGAGGAACACCAGUGGCGAAGGCGGCUUACUGGA